CCUACGGGAGGCAGCAGUGGGGAAUAUUGGGCAAUGGGCGCAAGCCUGACCCAGCAACGCCGCGUGAAGGAAGAAGGCUUUCGGGUUGUAAACUUCUUUUGUCAGGGAAGAGUAGAAGACGGUACCUGACGAAUAAGCCACGGCUAACUACGUGCCAGCAGCCGCGGUAAUACGUAGGUGGCAAGCGUUGUCCGGAUUUAGUGGGUGUAAAGGGCGUGUAGCCGGGUUGACAAGUCAGAUGUGAAAUCCUGCGGCUUAACCGCAGAACUGCAUUUGAAACUGUUGAUCUUGAGUACUGGAGAGGCAGAUGGAAUUCCUUGUGUAGCGGUGAAAUGCGUAGAUAUUAGGAGGAACACCAAUGGCGAAGGCAGGCUGCUAGACAGCAACUGACGGUGAGGCGCGAAAGCGUGGGGAGCAAACAGGAUUAGAUACCCCGGUAGUC
Molecule: ribosomal RNA, 442 nt
Filed under: uncultured bacterium
Lineage: Bacteria
Description: partial 16S ribosomal RNA
Rfam family: Bacterial small subunit ribosomal RNA
Source: RNAcentral